Molecule: long non-coding RNA, 4512 nt
Organism: Heterocephalus glaber (naked mole-rat)
Lineage: Eukaryota; Metazoa; Chordata; Mammalia; Rodentia; Bathyergidae
Source: Ensembl
GCUGCGUAGUAAAACCAGGGAUGGCGGCACGGACGUGGGAGGGACGCGGAGGCAGGGGGCCCCUCGGGCAGGGCCGGGAAACGGAGCCGCGCGGGGAGGGGGUAGCACGAGCCGAGGGGGGCUCCGAGGCGCUGGGGUCACUUGUAGGCUUCAGAGGCGGCCAGGGUGCAGCCCCCUGCGUGCCCACUGGGCGGUGCCUUGCUGGGGCGGCGGGAGGGAGGUUAUUUUUGCACAAGCUGCCUGCACCUGUGCCGUGCUGCAACUACAGCCGCAACCACUUAGAAGGACUCCGCUGCCCGCACCGGUGGACACUGAUGCUGGAGGACACUGCUAUGCCCUGCCCCAUACCCAGAACACUCUCCCUAGAAGGAGCUGACCCAGAGGCCAGCCUGGCUGUGGAAGGAGUUGCCAGUCCAAGAGCACUGGGGAUGAAGCCAGGGCCUUGCAUGUGCCAGAUGAGCACUCUGCCGCUGAGCUGCACCCUGCCAAGUGUGACCUCGUCCUAAUUGUACCUGCAAAGACUCUGUUUCCAAACUCCCUACGGCUUUAUUCACAGGUACGAGGCUAGGACUUGGACAUUUCCUUUUUAUCAGGGGGGCAAUUUAACCAACUAUAGGAGGGCAGAGUGGGGAACUCAGGCGCCAGGGGACUGGGCCAGCACCUUCCUAAAUUCUUCCCAUAAGUGUUUUAAUCCCAAUUAGCCAUGUGAGCAUUUUUGCCCUGGAUUCAGCACUAACCUGUGCUAGGCACCCCUGCCUGGCAGGACCACCCCCUGCAGUGGGCAGUCCCCGUACACAUGCCCAGCUCUUCCUGUCCGGCUCUGAAUAGCACCUCGGCAUGCCGGGGAGCCCCAGUGCUGAGCCUCCUGGGAACACAGGGACACCGAGGCACCGAAAGGGGCAACUUCACAUGUGCAGCAAGAGGAGGCCAAGGCUGGGACCCCAGCCCACCAUCCACACUGCCUCUGGCUGUGGCCCCUCCUGUGUCUGUGCAGAGGGGUGCAGCUGCAGGGGGGAGGGCUGCGCCCACCCCAGCUGGCCCAGAGAGCCGCUCGGCCCGGGAAGAAGCCCUGCCCCACAGUGCCACCCACCGCAGCUGUGCUUGGCAGGCCGGGGACAGUAAGUCCUGGCAGUUGCCAAAGCAACGCUGCCAUGGGGCAGAGGGCAGCCUGCCAAGGGUGCCCAGCCUUCCUGGGAAGGCAAGCCUGCUGCCCAAUGUUCAGAGCGGGCCGGGAGCCACCCACCCACCCAGAGGGCACACGGUGAUCUGGGAGGAGGCCACAUGGAGAGGCUCCUGGGGAGAGGAGCUAAUUCUCCUCCAUCCCCGUGCCCAGCAGGGGGGCGGUGUCCAGCAGGAGGCCCCCGCAUACCCUGCUGGCCAGCGCUCCAGACAGACGAUGGGCAGUGCCAGGCGGAGACCCCAGCCUGGGGAGGGGAUGUCUGUGCACAUGGGGGACAGGGGCCAGCAGUGUCAUCCAGAGCUGUGCAGUGGCCCCUGUGGGCCCUGCAGGGCUGCUGAACUCAGGGGACCAGGGCUGGGGCUGGAGGGGCAGCUCCAGGCAGGAAUGAAGCUGGAGGGGCUGCGGGGGACAGGCCAUCUGUCAGCUCGGGGCAGGUGCUGGCAGGAGAGUUGGAGCCCGUGCCAUCCCUCCAUCCGUCCACCAAGCUGCUGGCCCCUCCACCCCGCUGCCAGCCCCCACACGAGGCCUGGCUGCUCCCAUCCCGCUCUUCCUGGGGUUUUUGCUUUAUUAAACCAUCCUCACGCACUCUGUGGGUUUCCUUUCUUCAUUCUGGUGUAAUGAACAUAACAAAAUUAGCUACCUUAACAUGUGGCACCCAGGGGCGUUGACACCUUCACAGUGACUUGUGACCAGCACAACUGUCCAGCUCAGUGUUCUCCCUGUCCCAAGGGGAAACCUGACCCCACUGAACACCGACCGCCCUCCCCCUCCCUAGGCCUGGCCACCAGCCAUCAGUGCUCUCACUAUGGAUUUACCUAUUCUGGACCUUUCAUAAAAAUAGACUCCUACGUCCUGUCGUGUCUUCCGUGUGGCUUCCUUCACCCCACAUGUGUUCCUAAGCUCCUCCAUGUUGGGCUGAGCAAAUUCCAUCAUCUGGCUGGAACAUCUUCUUAGUCUGUUCACAUGUCACUGUUGGUGCAGCUGCUACUGAGGAGAUGCUGGCAUCCGGGGGAACCCUGCCCAGGGCUGCCUGGGAUGCCUGGGCUCAAGGCAAACCCUCUUGGAGAAUUCUGCAGGACCAGGGCCCUUCCACGGGGUGGCCAUCAUUCUGCUUAUAGGAACGUGGCCAAGGCAAGGGAGGUGCUUCUGGGACAGAGGCAAAGACAGCACGCUGGAGCCUCGUAAGGCCCAGCACAGAUGCUCAGUCCAGGAAGCUGCUGGAACACCCGAGCCCAGACACACAGGGAGUUUGUGACGCUGUGGAGUGAGGUGGCCUGUGGGAAAAGACAGCAGACAAAGCAGCUCGUGCAGGCCCUGGGUGUCGGUCACUGAGGGCGGAGGUUGCACAGCUAAACCAGGGUGGAAAAGGAGCUGCUCGGGCCUUUAUUUCCCUGUCACUAUUGAGAUGCAGUUCUGUUGCUGAAAUACAAAGAUGAAAGUCUUAGGCCUGGAAAGCAAAUGGGCAGUGAGGCAUCCCCUACAGAUAGGCCGUAGCCAGAGGGGCUUCUGAUGAGGGGUCCCUGCCCCGGUCCCCAAGGUCCCACUAUGGCAAUAGCCCUUCACAGGGUCCCCCAGAGAAGCCAGCUUGGCCCAACAGAGCCUCCUGCUCCUCCACGGCCUUAAUGUUACAGAGCAUCCUGGGCAUGGCUCCCUGGCCCCUGUAGUGGACACAGACAGCUGCUUGGCCUUGAUCACUCUAGGAGGCUCAGGUUCUCCUGCUGCUUCUCAGGCACUCGGGCCAGACUUGUUGUUUCCACUCAUAUCUUCAUCUCUUGUUUUACACGAAAGCACAGGAUAAGUUCCUAGAAAUACAAAACCUACCAAAUCUAAAGCACACAAAAUAGAAAACCCGGACAGACCUACAGCUAAUAAAGAGAUUGACUUAGUAGGCUGGGGAUUUAGCUCAGUGGUUUUGCCACCUGCUGUGCAAGCGCAAGGACCCGAGUUCGAUCCCCGGUACCAAAAACAAAGAGAUUGACUUUGCAAUCAAAAAUCUCCUGACAAAGAAAGCCCCAGACCUGCUGGCUUGAGUGCUGAAUUCUACCAAAUGCUUAGAAAACAAUGCUCUCAGAAAACAGAAGAGGAGGAAAUACUUCCUGUGUCAUUCUGAGGCUAUGCUCAGCUGGAUACCAAAGGCAGCAAAGACACCACAAGAGGAAAAAUCUACAGACCAAACCCUCAUGAACUCAUAUGUGAAUGUCCUCAGCGAAAUACAUACUGAAUCCACCUGCACAUUAAAGGACUAUCACCUUGACCAGGGUGGUUCCACACGACAGUCCAUUGGUGUAAUACACCUCUUGUCUCAGCUACUUUCUCGUCACAGACACAGUACCCAGCACUGGCAACUUCAAGGAGGAGAGGAUUAUUUUGGCUCAUGUUUCUAGUCCAAGGGAGAAACAGCUUGGGAGAGGGGCACAGCAGAGGAAGAGCUGCUCACCUCAUGGCAGACAGGAAGCACAGAGUCAAAGCAGGACCCAAGGAGGGAGAUAAAGCCAGGGACCGCCUCUUGCCACCAGACCCUACUUCCCUAAACCAAGCUAGUGCCGCUAUGGUCCAAUCACCUUCCAAACACAUGAGGCUGUGUGGGCCAUUUUAGAUCCAAACCAUAACCUCACUUUAGCAGAGUGAAUAAUAAAAAUCACAUGAUCGUGGCAACUGAUGCAGAAAAAUGAUUUGACAAAAUUCAACACCCUUUCAUGGUAGCAGCACUCAACAAAGGCGGAAGAGGAGUAAAUCAUCUCAACAGAGUGCAAACCAUCUAUGGAGAAUCCUGAGCAGUGGGUUCGCUCAGUGAAUGUGGAGACUGAUACUAUUCCUCUAAGGUCAGGAAGGGGGCAAGGGCCACUCCUGCCCCUCCUGUUCAACACAGUGCUGGAGACUUUAGCCACAGCAGUUAGGCAAGAAAAAAAUAAAAAGCAUUCACAUUGGAAAGAAAGAACUAAAAAUUAUCUCUGCUCACAGAUGAUAUGAUCUUGUACAUAGAAGAUCGUAAAGAGGUCACAAACAGAUGGCCAUGAAGUGCACAGCUGUAAUACCAGAACUCUGAGAGGCUGAGACAGGAGGGCUGCAAGUUUGAGCCCAGCCAGGACAACUCAAGACCUUGUCUCAAAAAAGAGUGGGGGGAGGGGGUGGCUGGGGAUAUAGCUCAGUGCAAAGGGGCCUGGAGUUUAAUUUCUGGUACUGAAAGAAUCCAAAAAUAAACUGUCAAAGCUAAUAAAUGGAUUCAGCAAAGUAGCAAGAAACAAAGGCCACACACAUAUAUCAGUUACAUUUGUAAACACUAACAAUAAACAAUGUGAAAAGGAAACUGCAAAAACUAAUUCCAAGUAUAA